UGUUUAUAGCAUACGCUUAUUACAUCUUCUGCUCAGAAACUCGGUUAAAAACGAGAUAAAUUGAGGUAAGCUUUGUGGGAGUUAAACGAAACAGAUAGAACAUACAUAAAUAUAAGUAUUAUUAAUUAAAGAAAGAAAAAAGUACGAGAAGAUCAGUUACAAGCACAGAUCUUAUAAUUAUCAUUAAUAGGCAUUAUUCCGUGCAGCAUGUGCCACAUGUAUCGUAUGCAUUUGUGACGAUAAUCGGCACAAUAAAUUUAUCCAAACUUAUCUGUAAUAGUAAAAGAAAAAUAUUUUGUACGACCGAGCUACAUGACAACGAGAGCUUUCCUGAAAAGAUAUAUGAUGUAAUUCUGAGGACUUUGUAACUUCCAAGAGACAAAGGAGAUAAAACAAGAAAAGAAGAAUACAUAGAAUUACAUAUAAAAAUACUUUCUGUUCAUAUACUAUUUAUGAAUUCUUUUGCAUAUAAAUGUACUUACUAAUUAUAAUACAAUAACGCAAGAGAAGAAAAGUGAUCCCACUGAAAAGCAAGAGGAGCUAUUACAAGAUAAAAAAUUGACAAAAUUUAUUAAGAUACAUUAAAAUGGAUAACACAGAUUCAUUUAUUGAAAAGGAUUUCUCAAUCUCGGAUGUAAUGGUCGAUGCACAGACGUACAAUUUACCUCAUCCAGAAUCCAUGUUUAAGGAAUCGCCAUGGCAAUUGGACAAUCUGCAAAGGCUGAAAAACAAUCUUAAUGAAGUGAAAAGUCGCUUAAACAACUACAGUCUACUGGAAUGGAAUCAGCACACAAGUCAAAUGAAUGAGGCGAGUGAUAUCGUCAACUUUGUAAAAAAAAAUAUAAAGGCAGAACUCGUGACUCAAGCCUGGUGUAAAUUUUACGAAAUUAUUUCUAAAAAUUAUGUCUUUCGUGGUUUGGUCUACAAAACGAGCACUGUUCCUAUGUUUAACGUAAAAAAUGACUCUUUGAUAUCUUUCCUUGAUUUAAUGCGAAAUAAUACGAAUUUCGAAGUAGAAUUCAACAUACCUAUGAAAAGUUUCACUUCCGUGCAUCUGUGUGAAGCACCAGGUGCCUUUGUGGCUGCUCUAAACCAUUGGUUCAAAACAAACAAACCCAGUGUGCAAUGGGAUUGGCUGGCUACCACCUUGAAUCCUUAUUACGAGGGAAAUUCGUAUGACACAAUGAUCGCGGACGAUAGAUUAAUUAGGCAUACUUUGAAACAGUGGUGUUUUGGCGCGAACAACACGGGCGAUAUUAUGGACCUGGAAAAUCUGGAUGCUCUAGUGGAAAGAUCCAAAUCCUUCUCAGAGAAAUCAAUCAGGCUGAUCACUGCAGACGGCAGUAUAGAUUGUACAAAUGUGCCGGCAGAACAGGAGAGCACUGUGGCGCAGUUGCACUUCUGCGAGACGGUGGCUUGCUUGCAUCUCUUGAACCAAGGCGGCACCUUUAUAUUGAAAGUCUUCACCUUGUUCGAGCAUCAAUCCGUAUGUUUAAUGUAUCUACUGGCUUGCGUCUUCGAUCAAGUUAUCGUAACGAAACCAAUGUCUAGCAAAGCAGGAAAUUCGGAGAGAUAUGUUGUCUGCAAGAGUUUUAAGGAUAGAAGUUACAUCGCUCCGUACUUAAAUAUUCUCAGGCAACACUACGGCAAAGUAUCGCCUGCGAAAGCAAUGUUCAAUUUGCGGGAUAUUCCACGCAGAUUUUUACAGAAAAUUGAGGAUUGCAAUAAAUUCUUCAAUCGCCAUCAGUGCCAAGUCAUAAACUACAAUAUAAAAACGUAUGAAAAAAAACUACCCAUGUACGACCAUCUACAGCAGGAAUGUAAACGUAAAGAACUCUCUGCGUAUUAUAUCAACCGUUAUAAAUUGAAAAAAAUAAAAUCUAGAGAUCAGAUAGUUGGCCGGAAGAUAAUGGAGAUUAAUAAUUGCUUUAGAAAUGAAUUGCAUUCGAUUCAUCUCAAAAAGGUUGAUUCUUACAACGAGCGUUUGACGUGUGACGUUAAACCACAAACACUUUUAUAUCGUUAUUUCAAAGACGCGAAAGAGAUCAAGUUACCAAUAACAGAUUCUUACAACUGGAAUCUGCAAAUAUUGCCAGAAAGUUUAGAGAUACAGAUAGGAAAACCAUUUAACAAAGUACGCAGCUCGUACUUUUGCAAUGUGAAAAUUUUGCAAAUGUUAAACGGAAUUGAUGACAUAAUGCAGCAUAUGCAUCUUGCCGCCUGCUUUUCACCUGCAGAAAUUACGACAGAGGUUGCGCGACAAAUGAGUGUCAGACACGAGAUCCUGAAUUUGGAAUUCAAUUGCGAUAGUCAUCGAAUGAUUGUCGAAAUUUGCGAUCGAUUGGAGAAGCUCGAAAUCGGACAGACGCUCAUUCUUAUUGGCUACUCUUUAUUAACGCAGUUUAACAUCGCUCUUUUAUGUCUUCUGGAAAAUACCUUUAAUGUGACUACUAUAGAGAUUCAACAUUACAGAGGCUAUUACAUCGAAUUGAAAGCAUAUCAGCACAAUGAAAAAGUAUUGAAUCAUUUGUAUGAGAUUCUCACCGCGUCACAUCAAGCACGCGAAAAGAAUAUGGCAAUCUGGUCGAUAAUGCCUAUAACAAAUUUAUAUGAAUGUGACCAGGUUCCCAUGAUAAUGCAACUUAAUCAUCUGAUGAUCAAACUGUACACAGGCCACGUUUCUUACAAAUUUUUGACACAAAAUAAAGAAGACAGCGACGAACAUAAAAGCAUAGAUAAUGAGGGCGUUGUGUAUAAGCACGAUGUUUAGGUCAGUCGAUUAAUAAGUAAUGUCGUGUUUUUAAGUAUUCAGAAACUAUUGAAUAGAUGAAUAAUUAACGUGAUCUUUUAUCGUCUUAAGCGAAAUUUAAGAAAAUAUUAUUUAGUGUUAUUGUUAUAUAAUAAGAACGAGGAACAUUUAUGUCAUUGCUUAUUCUAUUAAAUUUAAUUAAUUAAUUUUAAUUCUGUGUGAGUAUAUAACACAAUAACGGUUAGAUUACUGUAAGUUUAAUAGUAACCUUUUAUAGUAAGAAGCAAAAAAUUAUAAUUUUUAUCUUGCAUUAUAUGUAUAUAAUACUUUUAUAUAUUUAGCGUGCUCAAACACAGAAGCGGUAACUUUUUUAGGCAAUCAUGAGAGCAGUCGUAGUUUGUACGCUAUUCCAGGAUUAGAUUAUGUUGCUCAUGAAGAUGUAUUGUUGCCAUAUACUACAAAUGAGAAAGCAGCAUUGCAACACGAAUUGUUCGAUAAAUUUUUGACCUAUCAUCCAGACAAGGAACCAUGUUUUGUAGCAUAAGAGAUCUUCCGAGCAUGGCAGAAAAAAAAUCAUCCAUGGCUUGAAUUAUCGGAAGUACAUAAAGAAACAACAGAGAAUGUUCGCAUUUCAUAUAUUAGACAAUACUAAUGUGCUUUUUGUCAGAUAUAACAAUAACACUAAAUAAUAUUUUCUUAAAUUUCGCUUAAGACGAUAAAAGAAAUACAUCUGCAUCGAACUGAAGAAUUAUAACUAAUAUGUAUGAUAUAAACAUGUUAGAACACUAAUAUAAAAUAAGAGAAAUACGACAUUACUUAUCGAACAACCUAAUAUAACGCCUAACAUUGUACAAAUGUAAAUAUACUUAACAAUUCUACUAUUGAUAAUACGAAUAAUAUUUAAGCUUUAAUAUACUAAUAACAUAUACAAUGGGAUGUCAUAAAUGGGAAACAUUACGGAAGAAGGACACAAAAGAGAAAUGAUCAAGGUACUUGUGGGUUGCGUUUGUUUUUUGUGAUCACGAACAACUGGGAUAACUUUUACUUGGAUGAAAUUUAGAAUCAAUGUUUAAUGCAUGGAACGGUGACUAAGAUUUUAUUCCACACAAAGAAGUUUUUUUAUUCACACGAAUUAGAAAACGGCGUUGUGAGAGGCCUCGGCGAACUCUUUUUAAAGCGACUAUUACGACUGUGUUAAACUCAGUGCCACGUUUUAGAUCAUUGCCGUACAUGG
Molecule: RNA transcript, 3983 nt
Organism: Linepithema humile (Argentine ant)
Lineage: Eukaryota; Metazoa; Arthropoda; Insecta; Hymenoptera; Formicidae
Gene: dare
Gene name: NADPH:adrenodoxin oxidoreductase, mitochondrial
Source: RefSeq, a predicted model, not a curated record